This 1890-nucleotide long non-coding RNA is filed under the name Sus scrofa (pig). RNAcentral describes it as "lncRNA (ENSSSCG00035015380.1)". The record is from RNAcentral. Lineage: Eukaryota; Metazoa; Chordata; Mammalia; Artiodactyla; Suidae.
GGGUGGGAAGUUAGGGCUCAAGCUUUUCCUCUUCUCUUGCAGCUACCUCCAUCAUUGUUUCUUCUGCAGCUGAAUAGGCUGGCAGGCAGCCUGAAAUGGGGACCUGCUCAGAAGACCCCCACCCCUGCUGGGCAUCCCGGCUCCUCGGACUCAUCAGUCUCUUUCUCAGCGUCUGCAGCAGUGGGACCAAUAGUGAUGGAGGUCCUGGUCCUGGAGUUCAGGAUUCUGGAGCUCCUGAUCCUCUGCAGGGGAUCCGAGGAGGUUCUGUGCUGUUUCCUUUGCCCAAGAAGCAAGACGCUGAGCCGGAGGAGGUUGCGUGGGGCUUUGGUCCUGGGUCAGAGUACAGAGUCCUGCUGCGAGUCCGUCCUGGGGAAGCACCAAUAUGGGUGAGCCUCCAGGACAGGUACCAGCAGAGGAUCCAUGUGCCCAACAUGACAUCCCUGAAGAUUGAGAACCUGACCUCCGAGGACAGUGGGCUGUACCGGGCUCGAGGCAUCUUCACUGGAGGAGUAGAAUUUACCCAUGUUUUCCACCUCACUGUCUAUGAGCCUAUACCCAGUCCUGAGAUUCUGGCUGGGCCACGAUCCAUCACACCAGGCUGGUGCAAUGUCACCCUGGAGUGUGGGCCCAGAGGAGCCACAAAGGACCUGAAUGUGACCUGGAAGAGGGAGUACGCCUCUGAGAAGGUGGAGCAGACAGGGACACUGGGACCUGCCUCAAACUCCCACACCCUGGCUGUGAGGCUGCCCCUGAGGCAGCCCUACUCCAGUAUCACCUGCGUGGUCAGCAACCAGAUGGACCAGAAAACUGCUACCGUAGGUCUUGGGGAAGUCUGUGCCCAUGGUGAGUGCAACCUACCAGAGGGGAGGGCACUUUUAGAGCUCAGAUAGUACUGGGGUCUAAGAGCUCAGGGUUUUCUUUCUGCCCUUUUAUUACCACUACAUUCCACCUGGUCACUCCAUACAGGAGACUGAGACAUAAGUUCAACUUAUUUUGCUCUUGAAUGUCUCUCACAUCCAUGAUCUACUCUAACCCCCUUUCCCUGGCUAGCCUUCCAAUACUUCUCCCUCCUCCCAUUCAGUGUUCAUUGUGCAUUCAGCAUGGUCUUUUGGAAACUAAUCAUAUUGGGUCUUUUGUGCCUUUUCCUCAAGUCUGACCUCCACAACUUCCUGCAGGAUUCAGGGCUCAGACAUUCCUCUGCCCACAUUUCUGGUCUCACAUACUCAACACUGAAUUGCUUGCUUAUAGUUUCCAGAACUUGCCCUGCUAGUACAAGCUUUUAUGCCUCUGGACAUGCUGUUGCCGCUACCCUCAGCCCUUCUUCACUCAGUGUCCUUGACUUAACUGUCUUAUUCUUUAUAGAGGAUUUUCUUCAGUCACUUCAGAUCUGUGGGCAUGUGAACACACACUCACACAUGGCUCUGCCCUAAGAAGGGGACCAUGAUUGGUUUAAAAUCUGCCGUUGCUCUCCUGAAAUUUUAAUACUUUCUCUUUUUUCGUCUUUUUUUUUUUUUUUUUGCNNNNNNNNNNNNNUUUUUUUUUUUUUUUUUUUGCCUUUUCUAUGGCCGCUUCCACAGCAUAUGGAGGAUCCCAGGCUAGGGGUCUAAUCGGAGCUGUAGCCACCGGCCUACACCUCAGCCACAGCAGCGCGGGAUCUGAGCCACGUCUGCAACCUACACCACAGCUCAUGGCAACGCCAGAUCCUUAACCCACUGAGCAAGGCCAGGGAUGGAACCCGAAACCUCAUGGUUCCUAGUCAGAUUCAUUAACCACUGAGCCACGACGGGAAAUCCGACACGGCCAUUUCCUGAUUGCAGUGCUCCUCCCUCCUGGAAUACUAUGCCCAUCCAGAGUAUCUGGUAAACCCUUACUCAUUCCUCAAAGUCAGUU